GCCUUCAUGAAGCUGGAAUUGCUAGUAAUGGCAGGUCAGCAUACUGCCGUGAAUACGUUCCCGGGCCUUGUACACACCGCCCGUCACACCAUGAGAGUUGGGAAUACCCGAAGCCUGUGAGCUAACUUAAAGAGGCAGCAGUCGAAGGUAGAGCCAAUGAUUGGGGUGAAGUCGUAACAAGGUACC
Molecule: ribosomal RNA, 186 nt
Filed under: uncultured bacterium
Lineage: Bacteria
Description: partial 16S ribosomal RNA
Rfam family: Bacterial small subunit ribosomal RNA
Source: RNAcentral